RNAcentral lists this ribosomal RNA (252 nucleotides) under uncultured bacterium. RNAcentral describes it as "partial 16S ribosomal RNA". It matches the Rfam family "Bacterial small subunit ribosomal RNA", at positions 524 to 776 of the family's 1533-position model. The record is from RNAcentral.
UACAUAGGGUGCAAGCGUUAUCCGGAUUUACUGGGUUUAAAGGGUGCGUAGGCGGUUUCUCAAGUCGGUGAUGAAAGCUUGGUGCUCAACAUCAAAAGUGUUGCCGAUACUAGGAAGCUUGAGUUAAGGAAAGGUAGGCGGAAUUUAUGGUGUAGCGGUGAAAUGCGUAGAUAUCAUAAGGAACUCCAAUAGCGUAGGCAGCUUACUAGCCUUAUACUGACGCUGAGGCACGAAAGGCGGGGAGCAAACAGG